GCUGUGACUGGGAAAAUGUACAGACUUCUUACAAACGUUGCUGGAAUUGAACUCUGAUGCUUCAAGCUGUACUACAGCACAAUUGGAUGAAGUGCUAGAUCCAGGCAGUGCCAGAAUGUUCCCUGUAGUCUCUGUUUUUACAGCAAUGCUUGCCAGCACCCAGCUACCCGCCUGGGCUUCUUUGACAAUUCCUUCCACGUCAGCAACUGCUCAGAGUGAGAGGGCAGCAAGGGCUGGAGGCUCCACACAAUGGUUAUUCACCCUGUUUCCCGGUGAUAGAAGUUGGUGAUUACUGACAUGUUUAAGAAAAUCAAACUAAAAGACAAAAAAGGUCUUCCAGUGUAUUCCAUGAGGAGAUGGUGGAUUCUGUUUAAGUCCUUCUCUUGAGAGAUGCUGCCAACGAAGGGUAAAAUACAGCUGUGUGCAAUUUACCACGGUCUACAACGGGACAGAGGUUUUCUAGAAAUAUGUGACUGCCAGAAAAAACAAAUAUCCAGUUGGAAUAACAAGAAAAAUAACUGUUUGCCAGAAAACUGAAAUUAAAAACAGAAAAUAUCGGAAAUAUGUGGAGGGAUGUGCAAGUUUGAAGAGUGUGCAGAAAAGGGUCACAAGGAUGCUCCCUGAAUUAGGGGGUAUGUGCUAUGAGGAGAGGAUCGAAAAAAUGAAGUUUUCGCUGGAACAGUGGAGGCCAAGGGGAGGUCUGAUGGAAGUUGAAAGUACAUAUACAUCACUAUAUACAACCCUGAAAUUAAUUUUGCCGUGGACAUACUCUGUAAAUCCAAGAACCAUGAUAGAAUCAAUGAAAGGCUGCACGCAACAAGAUGGACAACCAACCUCUGUGCAAAAGACAACAAACUGUGCAAAUAUAUUUUUUUAAAUAAUAAAUAAAUAAAUGAGGGGAAAAAUCAAGAACAUGAAAUAAAGAGUCAUUGAGACUGGGUCAAUAGGUUGUGGGAACAGUUUAGUGAUUUGGCAAGUGAAGCUGAGUAAAUUUAUCCCCUUUGGUUCAAGAGCCUGAUGGUUGUGGGGUAAUAUCUGUUGCUGAACCUGGUGGUGCGAGUUCUGAGGCUCCUGUACCUUUUCCCUGAUGGCAGCAACAAGAAGAGAGCAUGUUGUGGGUGGUGGGGUCCCUGAUGAUGGAUGCUGCUAUCCUCCAGCAAUGCUUCAUGUAGAUGUAUUGAAUGAUCAUCAUCAUCAUUAUCAUUAUGCUGUAUGUGCUAUGUCAAUCAUGGUUUUAUCCAUGACCAUGACUAUUCUUGGCAAACUGUUGUAGUUUGCCAUUCCUUUUUUCUAGGCCAGGGGUCGGCAACCCGCGGCUCCGGAGCCGCAUGCGACUCUUUCAACUCUGUGCUGCGGCUCCCUGUGGCUUUGGAAAAUAAAUGAUGAGUUUUUAAUUAAAAUGUAUUUUAUGUUAGUUUGUUAGUUUUUGAAAUGUAAUUCUAAAUUUGAAGAUUAUAGUGAUCUUGUACAAUCUAAAUAAAACGUUGUGGCGACCCAUUUCCUGGCACAUCCGAACCGGCUCACAAUUUGCCAGCAUUCCGGCUAAGGGUGAUAGCCUACGGGAGUUUGUGAGUAUGUGUCUUUUGGAGCAUCCGUGCCCACGGGGGGCAGGUUGAGAGAGGCUUAAAAGCA
Molecule: long non-coding RNA, 1632 nt
Organism: Hypanus sabinus (Atlantic stingray)
Lineage: Eukaryota; Metazoa; Chordata; Chondrichthyes; Myliobatiformes; Dasyatidae
Exons: 4
Source: RefSeq, a predicted model, not a curated record